GUGAGGGUACAUGAUCAUGAAUUGAGAGACAAAGACUAACUUCUAUUUCGUAGUUGCAAUGUGUAGUCUGAAAAUUCUAUUUUCGUAACUAUAUUUUCAUGCAAGGCAAACUGAAUGACACGGCAGGGCAACACGUCGCCUGAGUAGAUUUUCAUUCCAAGAGCUGCAUAUAUCUGAAAAGACCAAUUUAAGAGAUUAGAGAUGUGCUGUUGCAAAUCUUUUUUCAGACCUUUUGAAAGGCUUACUGAAACCCUUAAUACUAUCUAUAUGGGUUUGUGAUUUGAGUAUAGUUGAUAGAGAAAAAUAUAUUUUUUUCAAUAUUGAAAAACGUUGGUUUGUAAAAAAAAAAAUGUAUACACUGAGAGAGUGAGAGAGAGAGAGAGAGGGAGAGGGAGGGAGGGAGAAAGAGAGGCUUCUGCUGUCGUCUCCUCUCGAUAGUCUAAGUUUCCAAGUGUAACAGAUGCUUCUCCCAAGCCGUUCCUUGUGCUCGCUUCUUUUAUUCAGGCGCGCAUUUUUCUCCUCGCGAUCCCCGUUUCCAUAGAGAGAGGAAUAAAAGGUGGCCACGGCCACAAAUCCGCGGGCCGGCCUGAAUAAAGGAGUCCAUUGAAAUGAGGGCCCGGGCUGGACACCGCCCCAGCGUCCCGAUGCUACUGUUACAAGAGCCCGAGAUGGCGUUUUCUCUGCGCGGGUUUAAGCCCGUGCAAGCAAUCAGUGAGCUAUUUUCAAAACGCUACCAUGUCACGUCUUAUCUCGACGGCGGCUACUGCGUCGUUUGUAAUUACGCCAUUUAGAAUAGAGCGUGCAAUUAUUGUAACCCGACGUAGGGUACACGAGGCGCCCAUCAGUAAUAUGCCAACUAACGACCGUUAGAGUGUUAAAUGUUGUUUUCACAUCAGCUCCUAUUAAGCUCGUUGCUGGAAAAAAAAAGAAAGAAAAGCGAUGUUGUAGGCUACUGAAACAUUCAGCAUUGGCUUGCAUACAUGAAGGGAGCUCAGUAAACGGGCAACUUUGUAACUCUCUAUCAUUUAGACUUCCCUUAACGCACAGCCCUUAUUUUGGCAGGAAUUAUUGUUGGUUGCCAGAAAAUGUCAUGAUGGUUUUUAACAAGUUUGCGAAGAAGACAGCAAAAUAAACUAAGGCAAAAUAACACCAUCAGCACAUGUAAUAAUUUCAGUAUUCCAACAUAGACUACAUAUCUGUAAUAAUUCAAUCUCCCCAUUCAGUUGGCUUUGAAUUUCAGUGAUGUAUAGGCUUAGAUGCAAGUGGGCCCAUGUGAGACAAGAAGUUAGACCCUAAAUAAAAUAUUAGUCAUAUCCUCAUAUUGGUUGCCAUUGCAUGGUCCCUUGUUGCCUACCUACUCACUUUGACAUAAGCUAGGCUGCAUGAAGUCUGGUAUCAUUCAGUAUUUUUUAUGUUUGUUUUGAGAAAGAAUGGCAGUUGAGAUGUAGCUGUGUUUUUAUCUCGAUGGCUGUACCUAAAGAUAGAUUUGGCUUCUACUCCGAAACAGCGUGGUGCCCGGGGCAGGACGUGUCAUUCGCGUGUCACGACCUCAUUCACAUCCCCCGUCAACUGUGCUCACACUGGUUGCCCGGCCACCCCGCCUCUCGCCUCGUCACCCCAACAACCAUUUGUGUUUCUUUGUGAAAACAGAAAAAGAAAAAGAGGAGAACGUAUAAUCCCUCCAAAACUGCACAAGGAUUCAGGAUUUAGUUUUCUUACAGCUCGACACUGAGAGGAGAGAUGGUCUGAUUUGCGCCAUUCACGCACACGAACAGAGUGUGAACAAAGUGUGACAGUGCCGAUUUUUUUUUUGCACAACAAACAGACUACUUUAAGAGUCAAACCAUGUCUUUUAGUAAAUGUAUUUUUUGUUUGUUGAAGUCCGUCUUAUUCCGUGAAUAAACAGACUAAAUACUCAAUAGGCUACCUAACUGAUUUCUUGAAAUAUUAUUUUUUUAAAUGUAUGUUAGACUGAGGACUCGUUUAAUCUAUUUUUUUUCCAUCGCAAAAAUGAAUUCUCAUUUGAAAAUGUGUUCUUGUGUUUCGUUAAAAUGCAAUAUAUACUAUAUUUGACAUGGCUAACUUUUUAAACGCAUCACUCUGCUCCCUGGUGCAGUGCAAAAUCAAUAGGAGCGUUUAUCUGGAAUGACACCUAUUUAAAGGGCAAUGGGGCGACCAAAAGCCUGUAUUUCCAGCUGUCUUAUGCCUGAUAAAUUGCAGCUCUUUUUCUAGAUAUAGCCUUUAUCUAGAGUAUUCAUAACAAAAUAUUCAAAAAGCGCAUUGACAUUGUAUAACAUCUGCAAUAAUAAUAAUAAUAAUAAUACUUGUGUUAUUAUUGUUGUUGCUGUUAUUAUUGUUAUUAUUAGUAGUAUUAUCAAAUACUACGUUGAUAAUUUCACUCUUAUUAAUAGACGUGUAGGCUAUAAGUAGGUUAUUGGUAAGUAUUUUAACGCGAAGGAGAAGCUGUAACACAUUAGUGGCAGAGCUAGAAGAAGCAGUGGUAACUGCAUUUCACCCAAGAAGUUAAACGGAAUGGGCGGCAGUAAGAAAAAGUUGUUUGUGUUUACGACUUGCAUAUUGGUAUUAGUUCUCAGCUAAUUAAAAUAGCUUUAGGGAGCAUUGUAUGCGGUUGCACGCUCGCUUCACCUCACACACCCACACACCCAAACACACAUACACAGAGAGAGAGAGAGAGAGAGAGAGAGAGAGAGAGACAGAGCGAGAGAGGGAGAGAGAGUCACUCUCACACAUAUAUUAAGAGAGCAAACAGAGCCGGCUUGGUGCUGUGGUGCCUGUAGCCCAGUGAAAUGAGACCUCAAGGCAGUGUUGGCAGCGGGACGAUGCUGGAAGAAAUGCAUUAGUAACGCCAGAGCAAAGAGGAUGUAGGACACAAACUGGGGUGAGCACUGGCGCGCCUGCCGCCAGUGUAUAAAGGGGUCGUUUCAUCCCGCGCAGAAUGUAUGGCCAUAAAUAAAGGUGCAUCUAUAAUUUAUGAAGUGUUUUUUUCUUUGUUUGGCCUCCAGCAUGGGUCCCGCGGGCUGUGUGCUUUGGGCGAGCCCCACGCUGCUGUGGCGCGGCCUGCGGUGUGGGCACUGACUUUGGGGCACGGCUCGGAUGCUGUCUGACGUGUGAGACAAAAUACUGAAGCAUGACGGUUGGCGAAGCUGCUGUGAAAUGAGGAAGAAGGCCCGAGUCUUCAAGGGAAAAACCUCUUCAGACUUCAUAAUGCAUCUUUAAUAACUUCACUGCCUAAGUCACAGCACACAUGAAGAUCAGGCAUUAUUUAAACUAGCUGUUCAGCAUCCAGGGGUUUGGAAGAACUAGUUAUCCAGAUUGUAACAUAUAACUCUGAAUGUAUCCUAAUAAUAAUAAUUAUUAUUAUUAAUAACAAUAAUACUAUUAUUAAUAAUAAUGAAUAGUAAAUAGUACAUCACAUGUUGAUUGCAGAAUUGAUUUGUACUGCAGACAUAGUGGAGGUACAACAUGUGAGCCUUUAAUCUCAGUCCAAAUUCAAAGUACCUUCCUUUGUAUUGAAUUGCAUACAGUAGCACUUUUUGAUAAUACUUUUCUCAUUUUUUGUAUCCAACACAGUACAAAAACCAAGCACAUUACUACGAACGUAAAGGCUAGUCAUAUGUUCCCCACUUAUAAAGUUCUGUCUAUUAUCAUUAAAGUAGGAACAAUAUGAGAAUUUAA
Molecule: long non-coding RNA, 3696 nt
Organism: Clupea harengus (Atlantic herring)
Lineage: Eukaryota; Metazoa; Chordata; Actinopteri; Clupeiformes; Clupeidae
Exons: 2
Source: RefSeq, a predicted model, not a curated record